This 253-nucleotide ribosomal RNA is filed under the name uncultured prokaryote. RNAcentral describes it as "partial 16S ribosomal RNA". It matches the Rfam family "Bacterial small subunit ribosomal RNA", at positions 524 to 776 of the family's 1533-position model. The record is from RNAcentral.
GACGUAGGGGGCAAGCGUUAUUCGGAAUUAUUGGGCGUAAAGCGUGCGUAGGCGGAUUCGUAAGUCGGGGUUGAAGUAUCCGGGCUCAACUCGGGGCACGGCCUCGAUACUGCGGAUCUCGAGUCGAGAAGAGGGUAGUGGAAUUCCCGGUGUAGCGGUGAAAUGCGUAGAUAUCGUAAGGAAGACCAGUGGCGAAGGCGGGUCUCUGGACAGUUCCUGACACUGAGGCACGAAGGCCAGGGGAGCAAACGGG